RNAcentral lists this ribosomal RNA (1605 nucleotides) under metagenome. Its description in RNAcentral is "bacterial LSU rRNA". It matches the Rfam family "Bacterial large subunit ribosomal RNA", at positions 1294 to 2925 of the family's 2925-position model. The record is from RNAcentral.
AUGCCGGAAUGAGUAGCGAGAGAGAGGUGGGAAUCCUCUCGGCCGAAUAUCCAAGGUUUCCAGGGUAAAGCUGAUCUGCCCUGGGUAAGUCGGGGCCUAAGGAGAGGCAGAAAUGCGUAUCCGAUGGACAGCAGGUUGAGAUUCCUGCACUAUCUUAAAACAGAACUGUGGGGACAUUUGUGGAGAGCACAGGCGCGGAACGGAAAGCCGCGUGCAAGCGAAGGAGGAGUCACAUAGGAAAAACCGUGUGGCAAUCCAAAGGCGUGAUGCGGACCGAACUAAAGUAGGGAAGUGUGUGAGCCAUGAAUCAAGAAAAGCCGCUAUUGUUUUUAAGAUACCCGUACCGUAAACCGACACAGGUGGAUGAGGAGAGAAUCCUAAGGCCGGCGGAAGAAGCAUUGUUAAGGAACUCGGCAAAAUGACCCCGUAACUUCGGGAGAAGGGGUGCCAACGAGAGUUGGCCGCAGAGAAUAGGCUCAAGCAACUGUUUAGCAAAAACACAGGUCUAUGCAAAACCGUAAGGUGAGGUAUAUGGGCUGACGCCUGCCCGGUGCUGGAAGGUUAAGAGGAGAGGUUAGCGCAAGCGAAGCUUUGAAUUUAAGCCCCAGUAAACGGCGGCCGUAACGAUAACGGUCCUAAGGUAGCGAAAUUCCUUGUCGGGUAAGUUCCGACCCGCACGAAAGGCGUAAUGAUUUGAGCGCUGCCUCGACAAUGCAUCCGGUGAAAUUGAAGUACCAGUGAAGAUGCUGGUUACCCGCGCCAGGACGGAAAGACCCCAUGGAGCUUUACUCCAGUUUGGUACUGGGGUCCGGCAGUGCAUGUACAGGAUAGGUGGGAGGCUGAGAACCUGGAACGCCAGUUUCAGGGGAGCCAUUGUUGGGAUACCACCCUUGUGCUGCUGGGCUUCUAACCAGCGGCCUUUAUCAGGCCGGGGGACAAUGCCAGACGGGGAGUUUGACUGGGGCGGUCGCCUCCGAAAGGGUAUCGGAGGCGCCCAAAGGUUCCCUCAGAAUGGUCGGAAACCAUUCGAAGAGUGCAAAGGCAGAAGGGAGCUUGACUGCGACACCGACGGGUGGAGCAGGUACGAAAGUAGGACUUAGUGAUCCGGUGGUAUUAAGUGGGAAUGCCAUCGCUCAACGGAUAAAAGCUACCCUGGGAUAACAGGCUUAUCACUCCCAAGAGUUCACAUCGACGGAGUGGUUUGGCACCUCGAUGUCGGCUCAUCGCAUCCUGGGGCUGUAGUAGGUCCCAAGGGUUGGGCUGUUCGCCCAUUAAAGCGGUACGCGAGCUGGGUUCAGAACGUCGUGAGACAGUUCGGUCCCUAUCCGGCGUGGGCGUAGGAUAUUUGAGAGGAGCUGUCCUUAGUACGAGAGGACCGGGAUGGACUGACCUCUGGUGUACCGGUUGAACCGCCAGGUUCACGGCCGGGUAGCCAAGUCGGGAAGGGAUAAACGCUGAAGGCAUCUAAGCGUGAAGCCCCCCUCAAGAUGAGAUAUCCCAUUCGAAAGAAGUAAGACCCCUUGAAGACGAUGAGGUAGAUAGGGCAGAGGUGGAAGUGCCGUAAGGCAUGGAGCUGACUGUUACUAAUCGGUCGAGGGCUUGACC